CUCCCAACAAUGGUAUUUCUCUGACUUUAGAAAGUCAGUCUGAAGCCUGGGUAGCUUUAUCUUCAGUGGACUUUGCUACAUAUUAUUUUGAAGAAAGGAGAGAAAAUUCCGUGAGAAGAAUACUCCAGUCUGCUCAGAAACAUGACCAGGACUGUGGAGCAGGUAGUGGCAGGAACAAUGCCGAAGGGCUCUCUUCCAUGGGACUCACUGUCCUUACCAACGUGCCUGCAGAGAAUUCCCCACAAGACGAUGGAUCUUUCAGAAAAACUCUCAGGUCAAAAAGGAACUUGAAAGAGAAAAUAGAAAAAGCAGGUACUCCGACUUUCAUUUUCUUUUCCUCAGUUAUGAUGUU
Suncus etruscus (white-toothed pygmy shrew) is the source of this 352-nucleotide long non-coding RNA. RefSeq lists it as uncharacterized. NCBI's taxonomy places the organism in Eukaryota, Metazoa, Chordata, Mammalia, Eulipotyphla, Soricidae. The transcript is spliced from 3 exons. The record is from RefSeq and is a predicted model, not a curated record.